RNAcentral lists this ribosomal RNA (553 nucleotides) under uncultured archaeon. Its description in RNAcentral is "bacterial SSU rRNA". It matches the Rfam family "Archaeal small subunit ribosomal RNA", at positions 326 to 879 of the family's 1478-position model. The record is from RNAcentral.
CGGGGUGCAGCAGGCGCGAAAACUUUACAAUGCUGGAAACAGCGAUAAGGGGACCUCGAGUGCCAGGUUACAAAUCUGGCUGUCGUGAUGCCUAAAAAGCAUUGCAUAGCAAGGGCCGGGCAAGACCGGUGCCAGCCGCCGCGGUAACACCGGCGGCUCGAGUGGUAACCGUUAUUAUUGGGUCUAAAGGGUCUGUAGCCGGCCGGAUAAGUCUCUUGGGAAAUCCAGCAGCUCAACUGUUGGGCUUUCAGGAGAUACUGUCUGGCUCGAGGCCGGGAGAGGUGAGAGGUACUUCAGGGGUAGGGGUGAAAUCUUGUAAUCCUUGAAGGACCACCAGUGGCGAAGGCGUCUCACCAGAACGGACCUGACGGCAAGGGACGAAAGCUAGGGGCACGAACCGGAUUAGAUACCCGGGUAGUCCUAGCCGUAAACGAUACUCGCUAGGUGUCGGCCACGGUGCGACCGUUGUCGGUGCCGUAGGGAAGCCGUGAAGCGAGCCACCUGGGAAGUACGGCCGCAAGGCUGAAACUUAAAGGAAUUGGCGGGGGAGCAC